UUGGAGUAGAUGUUAGGUUGGUACACUCACGUUCCAACUCUGCUGCCAAUUCGCCUCUACCAAGAGCUCUACUGUAACACUGAAAUCACACGAUAAAAGAAGAAGAAAUCUGCACACCAGAAACUAACGCACACAAACUGUUUGACAAAAGGUCAGGAAGAGAAUACAGCAGAAAAAGAGAAGAAUGAGCAAUCAAGCGAAGUAUGCACACUACACUUCACUCAAUUUGGAGACGUAGUGCCCAACAAAGGAAGAAGAAGAUGAAUAGUAACAAUGGUAUUUUUGUGCAUCUCAGUCUAUCGAAAUCAAAGAUUAUAAAUAACUAGAGCAAGAGAGACAUGCCCCCGUUCCUGCAGAGAAUUAGCAACAAAUAGCAGUGGUCUGGUUUUUCAUUGUUUUUGUUUUAUUUUUGCUUUUUUAUCUUUCUUGAAAUUAGCAACAAUUCAAGAAUUAAUUGCUGUUGAUUUGGGCAGAUCAGUUGUUCAUUAUUCCGUCGUCUAAUCACAAUAUAUCCAUAUAUACCGCAAGCCCAAGGUAUGAGUUUUGGCAGUGGAUAAUCUCACCUUCUUCUCCCAAGGAAGCUGCUUUGAAUAUCUAAUUUUAAGUCCAUAUCCAUAGCACUCAGCUACUAAUUUCCAGC
RNAcentral lists this long non-coding RNA (640 nucleotides) under Salvia miltiorrhiza (redroot sage). RNAcentral's name for it is "long non-coding RNA (SMIL_LNC013544)". The record is from RNAcentral. Lineage: Eukaryota; Viridiplantae; Streptophyta; Magnoliopsida; Lamiales; Lamiaceae.